UACAGGGGGGCAAGCGUUGUUCGGAAUUACUGGGCGUAAAGGGCUCGUAGGCGGCCAACUAAGUCACACGUGAAAUCCCCAGGCUCAACCUGGAACUGCGUGUGAUACUGGAUGGCUUGAAUUCGGGAGAGGAUGCAGAAUUCCAGGUGUAGCGGUGAAAUGCGUAGAUAUCUGGAGGAAUACCGGUGGCGAAGGCGGCAUCCUGGACCGACAUUGACGCUGAUGAGCGAAAGCUAGGGGAGCAAACGGGG
This 251-nucleotide ribosomal RNA is filed under the name uncultured bacterium. RNAcentral's name for it is "partial 16S ribosomal RNA". It matches the Rfam family "Bacterial small subunit ribosomal RNA", at positions 524 to 777 of the family's 1533-position model. The record is from RNAcentral.